Molecule: ribosomal RNA, 198 nt
Filed under: uncultured bacterium
Lineage: Bacteria
Description: partial 16S ribosomal RNA
Rfam family: Bacterial small subunit ribosomal RNA
Source: RNAcentral
GGCUGCAACUCGCCUACAUGAAGUCGGAAUUGCUAGUAAUCGCGGAUCAGCAUGCCGCGGUGAAUACGUUCCCGGGCCUUGUACACACCGCCCGUCACACCAUGGGAGUCGGUAACACCCGAAGCCUGUAGUCUAACCGCAAGGAGGACGCAGUCGAAGGUGGGAUUGAUGACUGGGGUGAAGUCGUAACAAGGUAAC